This 253-nucleotide ribosomal RNA is filed under the name uncultured bacterium. RNAcentral describes it as "partial 16S ribosomal RNA". It matches the Rfam family "Bacterial small subunit ribosomal RNA", at positions 524 to 776 of the family's 1533-position model. The record is from RNAcentral.
UACAGGGGGUGCAAACGUUGCUCGGAAUCAUUGGGCGUAAAGCGCACGUAGGCGGUUCGUUAUGUCGGAUGUGAAAGCCCUUGGCUUAACCGAGGAAGUGCAUCCGAAACUGGCGAGCUAGAGUACUAAAGAGGAUCGCGGAAUUCCCGGUGUAGAGGUGAAAUUCGUAGAUAUCGAGAGGAACACCGGUGGCGAAGGCGGCCUUCUGGACAGUGACUGACGCUGAGACGCGAAAGCGUGGGGAGCAAACAGG